Molecule: ribosomal RNA, 801 nt
Filed under: Pseudogymnoascus sp.
Lineage: Eukaryota; Fungi; Ascomycota; Leotiomycetes; Thelebolales; Thelebolaceae
Description: partial large subunit ribosomal RNA
Rfam family: Eukaryotic large subunit ribosomal RNA
Source: RNAcentral
GGCGAGUGAAGCGGUAACAGCUCAAAUUUGAAAUCUGGCCUCACGGUCCGAGUUGUAAUUUGUAGAGGAUGCUUCGAGCAUGGUCUGGCCUAAGUUCCUUGGAACAGGACGUCAUAGAGGGUGAGAAUCCCGUAUGCGGCCAGGUGCCUACGCUCAUGUGAAGCUCCUUCGACGAGUCGAGUUGUUUGGGAAUGCAGCUCAAAAUGGGUGGUAAAUUUCAUCUAAAGCUAAAUAUUGGCCAGAGACCGAUAGCGCACAAGUAGAGUGAUCGAAAGAUGAAAAGCACUUUGGAAAGAGAGUUAAACAGUACGUGAAAUUGUUGAAAGGGAAGCGCUUGCAACCAGACUUGCGCGCGGCCGAUCAUCCGGUGUUCUCACCGGUGCACUCGGCCGUGCUCAGGCCAGCAUCGGUUUUGGCGGCUGGAUAAAGGCCCUAGGAAUGUAGCUCCUCUCGGGGAGUGUUAUAGCCUAGGGUGCAAUGCAGCCUGCUGGGACCGAGGACCGCGCUUCGGCUAGGAUGCUGGCGUAAUGGUUGUAAGCGGCCCGUCUUGAAACACGGACCAAGGAGUCUAACAUCUAUGCGAGUGUUUGGGUGUCAAACCCAUACGCGUAAUGAAAGUGAACGGAGGUGAGAACCCUUAAGGGUGCAUCAUCGACCGGUCCUGAAGUUUACGGAAGGAUCUGAGUAAGAGCAUAGCUGUUGGGACCCGAAAGAUGGUGAACUAUGCCUGAAUAGGGUGAAGCCAGAGGAAACUCUGGUGGAGGCUCGCAGCGGUUCUGACGUGCAAAUCGAUCGUCAAAU